This 526-nucleotide long non-coding RNA is filed under the name Bos indicus x Bos taurus (hybrid cattle). RNAcentral describes it as "lncRNA (ENSBIXG00000029509.1)". The record is from RNAcentral. Lineage: Eukaryota; Metazoa; Chordata; Mammalia; Artiodactyla; Bovidae.
ACCAGAAUGCAGGCACUCAAACUCACAUCGAAUCCCCUGCUACCCUUGCACGCUGGUCAGAAAGACACCCACAUGCACUUGAGCCUAAUUUGCCGCACUCUUUUGAAAGAUAGGUAACCAGUCGUCUGUAAAGGAUCAAUAUAGUUGGGGUGCAGAUACAGGCCUUUCCCCUAGGGAAACACUUGCAUCAGUAUUAGUGAGAGACCAAGUACACAUCUGAAGCAUUCCUGUGCUUUCUGUCCACUUGUCAGGUGAUGUUGCCACGUAUGACUGUCCAUCAGCCAGGAGAUGAACCCCCCACCCGUGAGGCAGUGACUCAAGGUGCAAGGGAGUCCGGCAAGAAGUGUGGCGCACCCGAGUUGCUGCCACUGCUUUUUGGAUCACCCAGCACGGUCUUCUGAAGUCUUCCUGAAAGCAUCCCUGGUGAUCUGUGAGCCCUUGGUCGUGUUGCCCGCCUUCUUCCUGUGGGUCCUUGCUGGAUGCUCAUGUCCCUGUGAGCCGAGGCCCUGGAGGCUUCAGAUUUAGG